This 492-nucleotide ribosomal RNA is filed under the name uncultured bacterium. RNAcentral describes it as "partial 16S ribosomal RNA". It matches the Rfam family "Bacterial small subunit ribosomal RNA", at positions 30 to 507 of the family's 1533-position model. The record is from RNAcentral.
AUUGAACGCUGGCGGCAGGCCUAACACAUGCAAGUCGAACGGAAGCACAGUAAUAGCUUGCUCUUACAGGUGGCGAGUGGCGGACGAGUGAGGAGUACCUGGGAGUCUGCUUUUUCUUGCGGGCGAACGUGGGGAAAAUUACGCUAAUACCGCAGACGACCUACGGGUGAAAUCAUGGGAUCUUCGGACCUUGCGCGAUUGAAGGUGCCGAUGUCGGAUUAGCUAGUUGGCGGGGUAAAGGCCCACCAAGGCGAUGAUGCGUAGCUGGUCUGAGAGGAUGAUCAGCCACACUGGAACUGAGACACGGUCCAGACUCCUACGGGAGGCAGCAGUGGGGAAUAUUCGACAAUGGGCGAAAGCCUGAUCCAGCCAUACCGCGUGGGUGAAGAAGGUCUUCGGAUUGUAAAGCCCUUUUGUUGGGAAAGAAAAGCAGUAAGUUAAUACCUUGCUGUUUUGACGGUACCCAAAGAAUAAGCACCGGCUAACUUCGUG